UGAACACUGUGGAGGAAAAGCGCCAUGCCGCUGGGAAAAACUCGAUACUACCACCGCCAACGAACUUAUUGCUCCCCCAACUGUUGCCUUUUCGGCCCUGGAAGUUGGAAUAUAUUCUUCACGCUAUCGAUCAGCAACUGGUUUCGCUCAUGAUCGCCGCUAUCUGGAGACCCACCAACACAGAUCAUGAAUUUGUUCCCUUCCAACUUACAUGUCAAGGGUUGAAGGAAGAGACAAGAACCAACACGCAAACAAACCAAAGGCAAAAAGCAGGGGGGCCCGAUAAAACUCCAGCAUGAGUCUGGAUAGUUAAUUAACUAUCCUAACUCACAACUCAACAUUUUGUAAUAAUAAGCUUCUAUCCCGGCUAUAUUUCGGUUCCCCCCCCUACUCCCCUCCUUCCCCUACACGGGUAACAGUGGUACGAUCUAUCUGUCUCAACUCCAUUGCUAACAGCGAAACGGAAGCCACACCGCGGAGUCACGGACUGAUGAUUCGAGCAUCCAUGAACCCGAGUCCCUGAGAGGUCAAGAUGUGGGUCGUCAGGGGCUUGCCGAGGAGAAGGAUCGAAUACUUCGGAGUGAGAGAGCAUUUUGAACAGAAGCCAAGAGGCUCCAGGUCUGGUAACGUCUCCGCUCGGGUCAAGUCAAGGGGCUCGACUCGUAGUUACUUCUAUUUUUGGUGCCCUGUUCCUCGUAAGGAUUGAACUAUUUAUCAUUAUUUAAUGCACCAUGCCCGGCCAAGACUGGCUAGGAGUUUUAGCUACUACCUUUCAAGGAUAUAACGGAGUAAUCAGCCACAAGCUUUCAGCUUUCGGCAUCUGCAGUUCUGAGGCAUUUGCAGACGCCUGAAAUAUAAUAUCAACGCUUGGCCUCGGAUCAUUCCAACCCCGAUGCCGUAUACCUAACUUCACAACCAAGCUUUAGUCUAAUUCCUUGGGACCAGUCUGAGGUGCGCGGGACAGGUGUAUAUAAUAUAUAUUCAUACAAGGCAAAAAGCACUGGGACAUUCUAUUCAUUUCGCUGCAUAAACUGUUAUUGAUGCUAACUGUGGAGCACACUUAGCGGUCUCAUGGGCUGCUAGUGCUCUCUGCAGAGAAGAGAUUUGAUCGAGUUACGCUGCGGAGUGAGGUGAACUGAGGUCAAUGGAAGUGACUAAAAUGUGCCAAUAGUUACUAGUAACCUUUCAAUCAA
RNAcentral lists this small RNA (1193 nucleotides) under Histoplasma capsulatum var. duboisii H88. RNAcentral's name for it is "Histoplasma capsulatum H88 hypothetical RNA". The record is from RNAcentral. Lineage: Eukaryota; Fungi; Ascomycota; Eurotiomycetes; Onygenales; Ajellomycetaceae.